UGCAGUCGAGGGGUAACGUGAGUGCUUGCACUUGACGACGACCGGCGCACGGGUGCGUAACGCGUAUAGAACCUACCUUAUAGUAAGGGAUAGCCCAGAGAAAUUUGGAUUAAUACCUUAUAGUAUGAUAAGAUGGCAUCAUUUAAUCAUUAAAGAUUUAUUGCUAUAAGAUGGCUAUGCGUUCUAUUAGCUAGUUGGUAUGGUAACGGCAUACCAAGGCAACGAUAGAUAGGGGUCCUGAGAGGGAGAUCCCCCACACUGGUACUGAGACACGGACCAGACUCCUACGGGAGGCAGCAGUGAGGAAUAUUGGACAAUGGAGGCAACUCUGAUCCAGCCAUGCCGCGUGUAGGAAGACUGCCCUAUGGGUUGUAAACUACUUUUAUAGAGGAAGAAACAGUUCCACGUGUGGAACUCUGACGGUACUCUACGAAUAAGGAUCGGCUAACUCCGUGCCAGCAGCCGCGGUAAUACGGAGGAUCCAAGCGUUAUCCGGAAUCAUUGGGUUUAAAGGGUCCGUAGGCGGGUCUGUAAGUCAGUGGUGAAAGUUUUCGGCUCAACCGGAAAAUUGCCAUUGAUACUGCAGGUCUUGAAUCAUUAUGAAGUGGUUAGAAUAAGUAGUGUAGCGGUGAAAUGCAUAGAUAUUACUUAGAAUACCGAUUGCGAAGGCAGAUCACUAAUAAUGUAUUGACGCUAAGGGACGAAAGCGUGGGUAGCGAACAGGAUUAGAUACCCUGGUAGUCCACGCCGUAAACGAUGGUUACUAGCUGUUCGGACUUCGGUCUGAGUGGCUAAGCGAAAGUGAUAAGUAACCCACCUGGGGAGUACGUUCGCAAGAAUGAACUCAAAGGAAUUGACGGGGGCCCGCACAAGCGGUGGAGCAUGUGGUUUAUUCGAUGAUACGCGAGGAACCUUACCAGGGCUAAAAUGUAGUAUGACAGGUUUAGAGAUAGACUUUU
Molecule: ribosomal RNA, 959 nt
Filed under: Aquimarina sp. AD27
Lineage: Bacteria; Pseudomonadati; Bacteroidota; Flavobacteriia; Flavobacteriales; Flavobacteriaceae
Description: bacterial SSU rRNA
Rfam family: Bacterial small subunit ribosomal RNA
Source: RNAcentral